CCAGGAGCAAGCCACCACCCUCCUGCUGGGAAAGUGUAAGGCCUCGCUGGGGAGCGCUCUUAAUCAGAAGCUCCCCUCAGCUCCGUGUUUGCUCAUACUGUUUUCCUUAGAUAGUUCGGUUUCACUCCUGCUUCAAGGGCAUGGUUUUCAUUUGUUGGAGAAGUAGCCCCAAGAGGCACUUGUCUGGCUGAGCUUUGCCGCCCGGGUGUUUGGAACGUGGAGCAGGCUAAGUGGACGGACUCUACCCCUCCUUCAGGCCCUCCCGUCUCUGGCUCUGCCCAGAAUGCACCAUCUAGGGGAAAUCAAAGUUUGUCCUCUCCCGUGACAGAAUGAGGAGAGACCACCAAGGCUGACCUUACCUAUAACAAAUCUUCCCCGGGACGCACACAUGUGCUUCUAUCGUAGUUCCCACAUUCUCCUCACACUUCUGUCAGCUUUCUGUUCUGAUCGCAAAGGGGCAGGGCAGCUGGUAGUAUUUCAUUCGUAAAGAGAAGAAUGAGGUAGAAAAAGAAUUUGUUCAAAUCUCUUCAACCACAAGUACCGUAAGAGGCAAUAGCGGUGGUUCCUAGCCUUCGCUUCCAGACCAGCGCUCCUGCUCUAUCUGCACACUGAGAGGCCGGAACAAGCAAGUUGAGAACGGGAUGCCAGGUUGUAGAGAUGCACCCUCGAUCUGCAGAACCUAUUCCGCCGUCUCAUUUCAUCAUCUGCAGAAGAUGCAGGAGGCGAGCAGCUUCAAGGCAAACCAGGAGUCUGCUGCCCAGAGUCCUCACCGAGAAGGGGAUGAAGCUUGGUCAGAACCUGGACAGCUUAUUAACCAACCAGAACGCUGCUAUGAAAAGCCCUUCUCGGUCAGCUACGGCGAAACUGCAGUCCUGCCUGCUUCACACAUACACCGGAGUUAAAGCAACGCCUCUGCGUGUGGCUCAGAUUAUGUCAAGAACUGCUCAACUGGCAUCUACAUAGUUAGCCUGAAGGAUAGGGAGAAGUCAAAACAGCACACGCCCGUGACCUCUGAUGAUCUGAAAGUGCUUCCAACAAGUGUUCCUCCAGGUGUCUCCAUGAAGUCUUCCUCCUUUUCAAAACCACCCCAGACCCUGUAAAUGAACCUGGAGACACAGAAACAUGGCUGAAGAUUUGACUAAAUAUUGGGAAAGCUCGAGCGGCAUGAGGAUGUUUUCUGGACCAUUUGAUGAAAGCACAGAAAUUUCAUGGACACUUACUUCGCUUGAUGGCAUUUGCAGCUGGAGGCAGAUUCAGGAUAUAAGUGGUCCUCACCCUUCAUCAAAGAAAUCUUCAUUUGCAACAGAAGGAGACUAUUACAGAAAACUGCAACCAAUCAAAAUGAAGAGGUGGUCCCAGUUCCGAUGACUACAUCGGCACACCCAAGGCUCAUGGAAUAUUGCAGAAGAGGGGCCAGAAAGGAUUGUAAGAGUUAGAGUAUGAGGGGGUUUGCUGUGAGAUCAUGUCACCUAGCAAUGUCAGAAACUACACCCAAAAGUCUUACCAACAUGACUGCCUAAACAUGGGUUGAACAAAGGCAACACCAAUAGGCAUAAAAGUGUUGACGGGGAAAGUCCAGGAAGCUUCAAUCUUACAUAAAGAUCUAUAGACAACCAAGGAAUGCCGAGAGCAGAAGAAAUAGCCUUCCCCAGGGAAGAGCACACCGACUGGUUAUUCAAUACCAAACUGUCAGCCCUGAACACACACAUAAAAGUAACAUUAUAUAGACCAGACAGGUUAUUAUACAUACAUCAAUUCAGGAAUUAUACAUACACCAUACACAUAUACAUAUACAUAGGCACAUACACAUAUAUGUAUACCAUGUAGUUAUACAUGUAUGUAUGUAAUGACAAUUAAUGAGAAAAGAGGCCAUGAGUUUGGAAGAGAACAAGGAGGGGCAUAUGUGAGGGUUUGGAGGAAGGGAAGGGACGGGAGAAAUGAUGUAAUUAUGACUUCUAAAAUAAUUUGAAACACAUUAAAAUAUAAUAUUUGGCCAUUAUUACAAAUUCUAAGAACACGAAAGAGUUAGGGAAAAGCAAGCCUUCUUCGUCUUAUUAAUGCGAUCUGUGGUUUUCUGAGUAUUCAGUCUUGCAACUUCCUGCUUUCACCUAACCACAGGUCCCUGAAGUCAAAGGACACCAAGCUGUAUAAAAUGGCAUCACUUUAAAAGGAUUGUCUAAGAGCCUGCAUCUUAGAGCCACAAUCGCUAUUUCCUGAGUAUGCUGGGAGUUUUCUUCCCAGAACCUUUUCCUGGCUCAUACAGUCUUUAUUUAAUUUAUUGUUAAUUUUAUUAUUAAAGUGUGUGUGCUUGUGUAUGAUACCUGUGUCAGCAUAUGUUCUACAGUGUAUGUGUUGAGGUCAGAGAAUGACGUUGUAGAGCCAAUUUCUUUCCAGAAAGUGAAUUCCAGAAAUCAGGGUGACAUCACAGGGUGACAAGUUUAUGUGUGAGCCGUCUUGCUAUCCAAACCCAUUAUUAUCGUCGUCAUCACCAUCAUUAUCAUUAUUAUUAUUAUUAUGUUAUAUAAAUGGAUGCUUUGCCUGAAUGUCUGUUUACCAUGUGCGUAUCUGGUGCCACAGAGGCCAGAAGAUUAUGCUGAAUCCUUUGAAACUGGAGUUCCAGAUGCUGUAAGCUACCACAUGGGUGCUGGGAAAUGAAUCCAGGUUCUCAGGAAGAACAGCCAGUGUUUCUGAAGCACUGAGUCACCACUUCAGCCCCCAAAUACAAUUUUUAAUUAGAUGUUUUGUGAAAGAAAUAUUCCUGUAUUUGGAUAAAUAUACCUGUAAGAACACCUCUACACAUGGAGUUGGUCAUCUAGGGGCAUUUCUGGUUUUGACAUUUUACUGUAUUUUAUUUUUUAACAUACUUAUGUAGAUUUAUUACUCUUCUCUCAAUAUGAAACAAUAAAAAA
Molecule: non-coding RNA, 2909 nt
Organism: Rattus norvegicus (Norway rat)
Lineage: Eukaryota; Metazoa; Chordata; Mammalia; Rodentia; Muridae
Source: RefSeq, a predicted model, not a curated record